This 444-nucleotide non-coding RNA is filed under the name Ipomoea nil (Japanese morning glory). RNAcentral's name for it is "Eukaryotic small subunit ribosomal RNA". It matches the Rfam family "Eukaryotic small subunit ribosomal RNA", at positions 106 to 473 of the family's 1831-position model. Lineage: Eukaryota; Viridiplantae; Streptophyta; Magnoliopsida; Solanales; Convolvulaceae. The record is from Rfam by way of RNAcentral.
UAGCUGAUAGCUGUUUGGUAUAAUUUUUUUUGUCAAAAAGUUAAUUGAAAAGGCUGCUUUGAGCAGCUUUUUGAAUUUUAGCAUUUUGGAGUUGAUUUUUUUAACCAAAUCAAACAAUUAAUAGUAGUCAAAUAAGUCAAAAUUGGCUGAUAGGCUAAUAUUUUACCAAACAGGGCCAUAGUAAGGAUUGACCGACUGAGAGCUCUUUCGAGAUUCUAUGAGUGGUGGUGCAUGGCCGUUCUUAGUUGGUGGAGUGAUUUGUCUGGUUAAUUCCAUUAACGAACGAGACCUCAGUCUACUAACUAGCUAUGCGAGGUAUCCCUCCAUGGAUGACGGAGAAUUAGGGUUCGAUUCCGGAGAGGGAGCCUGAGAAACGGCUACCACAUCCAAGGAAGGCAGCAAGUGCGCAAAUUACCCAAUCUUGACACGGGGAGGUAGUGACAA